CCGCCCCGUUCCGCCGGCGCAGGGCUCAGGGGCCCCGGAGCUUGGGAGCGCGAGGGAAGGAGCUGAAGGGGCGGGUCCGUGGGAGGCGAAGGCAGGGGAAAUGUGUGUCUGCAUUUUUUAAUUUGCAGGGGAUAUUUUCCGUCCCCUUUGUCCCGUAAGCCUCUGCUUUUUGGAUGAAAACGUUGGCUUUACCACCCUCUCUCUCCUUCCCGCACGCGCACACCUUGAAGGCAUCCUACCAGGCGGUGACCGCAGAGGAAGCACCCAGAGCCACAGUUCUUGCCUUGUCAGCUGCUCCCACCACGUCCCCAGAAAGCUCCGGGUUCGUCAGAACAGCAACAUUAAAGGAAGGCCCAAUUUAUCUAUGGAAAAAUCCGCUCCGGCCUUCCUCUUGUAGCCCCAACCGUUUUCACUUCUAAGUAGCCGCUUUGGGUCUUACUUGUUGGUUGUACAGUUGCUGUCAAUGUGCCUACCAUUUUGUACCCAGCUUAAAAUUGUUUAUUUAUUUAUUUAUUUAUUUAGAGGCAGAGUCUCGUUCUAUCACCCAGGCUGGAGUGCAGCGGGGCGAUCUCUGUUCAUUACAACCUCCGCCUCCCGGGUUCAAGCGAUUCUCCUGUCUCAGCCUCCUGAGUAGCUGGGAUUAUAGAGGUGUGCCACCGUGCUCGACUAAUAUUUGUAUUUUUAAUAGAGACUGGGUUUCGCCAUGUUGGCCAGGCUUGUCCUGAACUCCUGACUCAAGUGAUCUGCCUGCCUUGGCCUCCCAAAGUGCUGGGAUUACAGGCGUGAGCCACCAUGCCUGGCCAAAUUUUUUUUUUUAAUGUAUCAGCAAUAUUUUUUCAUGUUUCUCUUUAUAUAUAUAUAUAUUUUUUGACACAGGGUCUUACUUUGUCGCCCAGGCUGGAGUACAGUGGCAUGAUCGUAGCUCAUUGCAGCCUCCACCUCCCUGGGCUCAGGAGAUCCAUCUCAGCCUCCUGAGUAGCUGGGACCACAGGUUUUGUUCAGGUUUAGCACAAGCUGUGAUGAAUAUCUUCAAGCCUCUGCUUCCUGCUGUGGAAUUGUUGCCAAAGGACACAUUCCCAGAUGGGAUUACUGAGUCAGAGGAAGUGGACAUUGAGUGGCUCUCAACAGACAGGCUGUGUUGCUCUCACAGUGCCCAGCUUCCCAUGGGUGGCCAGCCGAAUGCAUUAUGGGAGAAAGCAGGUCUCGUGGAUAAUAUUUCUGAAGAUCGGAGCAGGUUGCCAGGUCCACGUCGGCCAUGACUGCAGCACGCUCCGGAGGCAGCAGGGGGCACCCUGGAGCUUCGCAUCCUCCUUCAGGCCCGCGGCAUCUCCCCUGGCUCCACCAUCCCCAGGUGUCUCAGGUUGGACGCACGGUAGUUCGCUAUGGCCAUUUCUGAUUAAAGACAGAACAAAUGGAUUGUCCGGAUACGGUGUCUGUGAAAGGAACCCAGCUGUGAGCCUCGGCAGGCAGGUGCGACAUUCUAAAUCCACAGGGAGGGCCCAGAAGGGACGCAAGAGGUCACCUGCCGUGCAGGGUGCGGGGGGUCUUGGAGGUGGGCAGCAGCUGUUCACCCGUGAGCGACGAGGAGCAUCAGCGCUUGAACAGCGGAAGCAGCAUUUACAGGUGAACACCAGCCCGAGAGGGCCGGGGGGCCCAAAGCUAUGGUGUCCAGAGCCUCCCAGCUCCCACUCUGGCCUCCAGUGGCCAUGGAAUUGCUAACUAUGAGGGCGCAAGCUUCUCCCAGCAAGUCAAGGGGAUGCUAUGUGCUGCGAUAACGGGUCCGGCCGCCUUGCCUUUGGCCUUCCAAGCCCCUCUCUGAGCCCCAGGACGUACCCACACCUGCCGGCCCAUGUAGGGUGGUCCCAGCCUGCGUCAGUCAGGCCACACUCCGGAGCCAGGCUUGGUGCAAACUCCCAGCUGAGCUCACCCGCUGGCUGCGGUCUGUGAUACUUCCCUGGUGGUCUCUGACGGGGCUGUAUGGCCUCCCUCUGGAACCCAGGCUGAACACUCGAGGAGCUGGAGGCAGUCGGGCAGAAUCAGCCUCUGGUUGCCAGCAUGGGGUGUCAGGCAGGGGCAAUCCAGCGGGGAGCCUGGGGAGAGAGGGCGGGGGUGAGGCACUGAUCUCAGGCUGUGGGGAGGAAUUCACACCUGCAUGGCUGAGGCUGGUGCUGCCCCCCUGAUCACCAGGAGAUCAGCCUCUCCUUCCCCAGCCUCAAUUUGCACCCCUGGCCUGUGCGGUUGGCACUGUCUCCCGUGGGGAGCCCCUGCCUGGCUCAGGGGAGACCCUGGUGCAGAGCCCACCUUUGGAGCUGCCCUGUCCUGCUGAGGCAGGAGCCACCCCUGGCCUGGCCCUGGCCCUGGCCCUGGCCCUCCGGUGAGGCUGCAGUAGCCAGGAGAAGGCCAGUCAGAAAGGCCAUCUGCCUGGCGGGUGUUUCUAGCCAGCAGGCCAGGGUAAGGAAGUUGUCAGGCGUCCUGCGGGGAUGGCCAGGGUUGCAGACAGGGGUGGCAGCCAGCUCCAUGUAGCUCUGGGACCCAGGUGUGUGGCAGGGCCAGGAGCAUGUUCUGCUGCUCUUCCAGGCCCGACUCCAGCUCAUUUCCUUGAGAGACCCUUUCACCUAUUCCAACCUGCAUUUGCCUGUGUCGUCCUUUGCAGCAGCAGCCUUGUGGCUGUGCCUCUUCUGUGCCCUCCGAGUUCUAGGCUGAGGGUGAGGAUUGGAUGAGUUGAUCCACGCAAGGCUCCUGGCACAGUGCCUGGCAUAUGGUUAAAUAGACUUGAAGUUAUAAUUACCAGGUAUGUGACCCUGUCCUCAAUAUGAGUGCCACAGUGGGCUGGAGAGUGGCAGCCCUGCUGGGCAGGAUCGUAGGGUCUCAGUGACAGGCCUUCCUCGUAUCCCUGACAGGGAGAGAGGCUCACUGAAUAGUAAGUUGGCUGUGUCUUUUCUGUCUGAGCCUCUCUGGGAAGCUUCCAAGGGGAUAAAGGCUUGAGCUGGAACUUGGAGGAGUUUGCAGGUGGCUGGAUUGGGGUGGGGGUGGGGAGGAGGGUGCCAGCAUGCCAGGUGGGGGAACAGCAUGGGCGAAGGUAUGGAGAUGGGGGAGGGAUCUGGACAGGGUGCCUGUGGCUGGAGCACAGGGCAUGUGUGGGCGGGAAGCAGGUGAAGAGAGGAAGAGCUCUGGGGGACUUCUGGAGGGGACCCACCGUAGGAGCAGGCCAAUGGCUGGCAGGGCUAAGUGGUGCAGGUGCCCCUGAUGGAUUUGAUCGAGGUGGGCACACAUGCUCAUGUCAGAGGCAUGUAAACCAGAGCAACUCCAUCUUGCGUAGGAGCUGGGUAAAAUGAGGCUGAGACCUACCGGGCUGCAUUCCUGGACAGUUAAGGCAUUCUAAGUCAUGGGACAAGACGACACAGGUCAUAACGACCUUGCUGAUGAAACAGGUUGCAGUAAAGAAGCUGGUCAAAACCCACAAAAACCAAGACAGCCAUGAGAGUGACCUCCGGUCGUCCUCGCUGCUACACUCCCACCAGGGCCAUGACAGUUUACAAAUGCCACAGCAAUGUCAGGAAGUUAGCCUAUAUGGUCUAAAAAGGGCAGGCAUGAAUAAUCCACCCCUUGUUUAGCAGAUCAUCAAGAAAUAACCAUAAAAAUGUGCAGCCAGCAGCCCUCGGGGCUGCUCUGCCUAUGGAGUAGCCAUUCUUUAUUCCUUUACUUUCUUAAUAAACUUGCUUUCACUUUACAGACUCACC
RNAcentral lists this long non-coding RNA (3740 nucleotides) under Homo sapiens (human). Its description in RNAcentral is "non-protein coding lnc-ROCK2-3:20". Lineage: Eukaryota; Metazoa; Chordata; Mammalia; Primates; Hominidae. The record is from RNAcentral.